UUUAUUGGAGAGUUUGAUCCUGGCUCAGGAUGAACGCUGGCGGCGUGCCUAAUACAUGCAAGUCGAGCGAAUGGAUUAAGAGCUUGCUCUUAUGAAGUUAGCGGCGGACGGGUGAGUAACACGUGGGUAACCUGCCCAUAAGACUGGGAUAACUCCGGGAAACCGGGGCUAAUACCGGAUAACAUUUUGAACCGCAUGGUUCGAAAUUGAAAGGCGGCUUCGGCUGUCACUUAUGGAUGGACCCGCGUCGCAUUAGCUAGUUGGUGAGGUAACGGCUCACCAAGGCAACGAUGCGUAGCCGACCUGAGAGGGUGAUCGGCCACACUGGGACUGAGACACGGCCCAGACUCCUACGGGAGGCAGCAGUAGGGAAUCUUCCGCAAUGGACGAAAGUCUGACGGAGCAACGCCGCGUGA
Molecule: ribosomal RNA, 416 nt
Filed under: Bacillus anthracis (anthrax bacterium)
Lineage: Bacteria; Bacillati; Bacillota; Bacilli; Caryophanales; Bacillaceae
Description: bacterial SSU rRNA
Rfam family: Bacterial small subunit ribosomal RNA
Source: RNAcentral